RNAcentral lists this ribosomal RNA (497 nucleotides) under uncultured bacterium. Its description in RNAcentral is "partial 16S ribosomal RNA". It matches the Rfam family "Bacterial small subunit ribosomal RNA", at positions 28 to 507 of the family's 1533-position model. The record is from RNAcentral.
GAUGAACGCUGGCGGCGUGCCUAAUACAUGCAAGUCGAGCGAACAGACGAGGAGCUUGCUCCUCUGACGUUAGCGGCGGACGGGUGAGUAACACGUGGAUAACCUACCUAUAAGACUGGGAUAACUUCGGGAAACCGGAGCUAAUACCGGAUAAUAUAUUGAACCGCAUGGUUCAAUAGUGAAAGACGGUUUUGCUGCCACUUAUAGAUGAAUCCGCGCCGCAUUAGCUAGUUGGUAAGGUAACGGCUUACCAAGGCGACGAUGCGUAGCCGACCUGAGAGGGUGAUCGGCCACACUGGAACUGAGACACGGUCCAGACUCCUACGGGAGGCAGCAGUAGGGAAUCUUGCGCAAUGGGCGAAAGCCUGACGGAGCAACGCCGCGUGAGUGAUGAAGGUCUUCGGAUCGUAAAACUCUGUUAUUAGGGAAGAACAAAUGUGUAAGUAACUAUGCACGUCUUGACGGUACCUAAUCAGAAAGCAACGGCUAACUACGUG